Molecule: ribosomal RNA, 254 nt
Filed under: uncultured bacterium
Lineage: Bacteria
Description: partial 16S ribosomal RNA
Rfam family: Bacterial small subunit ribosomal RNA
Source: RNAcentral
UACGUAGGGCGCGAGCGUUGUCCGGAAUUAUUGGGCGUAAAGAGCUCGUAGGCGGCUUGUUGCGUCGACUGUGAAAACCCGCGGCUCAACCGCGUGGCUUGCAGUCGAUACGGGCAGGCUAGAAUUCGGUAGGGGAGACUGGAAUUCCUGGUGUAGCGGUGAAAUGCGCAGAUAUCAGGAGGAACACCGGUGGCGAAGGCGGGUCUCUGGGCCGAUAUUGACGCUGAGGAGCGAAAGCGUGGGGAGCGAACAGG